UGGUCAUUAGCUUAGUGGUGAAAGCAUCCGUCUGAUACGCGGAAGAUGGUGGGUUCAAUUCCCACAUGACCAA
Molecule: transfer RNA, 73 nt
Filed under: Actinomadura sp. KC216
Lineage: Bacteria; Bacillati; Actinomycetota; Actinomycetes; Streptosporangiales; Thermomonosporaceae
Description: tRNA-Ile
Rfam family: tRNA
About the family: Transfer RNA (tRNA) molecules are approximately 80 nucleotides in length.
Source: RNAcentral